RNAcentral lists this non-coding RNA (46 nucleotides) under Trichobilharzia regenti. The record is from RNAcentral. Lineage: Eukaryota; Metazoa; Platyhelminthes; Trematoda; Strigeidida; Schistosomatidae.
GUACUGACGAAGAGUCCCAAACUAGAACGAAACAGUUGUCUAGUAC